Molecule: ribosomal RNA, 501 nt
Filed under: Exiguobacterium profundum
Lineage: Bacteria; Bacillati; Bacillota; Bacilli; Caryophanales
Description: bacterial SSU rRNA
Rfam family: Bacterial small subunit ribosomal RNA
Source: RNAcentral
CCUUUCGGGGGACGACGGUGGAAUGAGCGGCGGACGGGUGAGUAACACGUAAAGAACCUGCCCUUAGGUCUGGGAUAACCACGAGAAAUCGGGGCUAAUACCGGAUGUGUCAUCGGACCGCAUGGUCCGCUGAUGAAAGGCGCUCCGGCGUCGCCCAUGGAUGGCUUUGCGGUGCAUUAGCUAGUUGGUGGGGUAACGGCCCACCAAGGCGACGAUGCAUAGCCGACCUGAGAGGGUGAUCGGCCACACUGGGACUGAAACACGGCCCAGACUCCUACGGGAGGCAGCAGUAGGGAAUCUUCCACAAUGGACGAAAGUCUGAUGGAGCAACGCCGCGUGAACGAUGAAGGCUUUCGGGUCGUAAAGUUCUGUUGUAAGGGAAGAACAAGUGCCGCAGGCAAUGGCGGCACCUUGACGGUACCUUGCGAGAAAGCCACGGCUAACUACGUGCCAGCAGCCGCGGUAAUACGUAGGUGGCAAGCGUUGUCCGGAAUUAUUGGG